This 344-nucleotide unclassified non-coding RNA is filed under the name uncultured fungus. RNAcentral's name for it is "partial contains small subunit ribosomal RNA, internal transcribed spacer 1, and 5.8S ribosomal RNA". The stretch from base 1 to 73 matches the Rfam family "Eukaryotic small subunit ribosomal RNA", at positions 1759 to 1831 of the family's 1831-position model. Lineage: Eukaryota; Fungi. The record is from RNAcentral.
GCAAACUUGGUCAUUUAGAGGAAGUAAAAGUCGUAACAAGGUUUCCGUAGGUGAACCUGCGGAAGGAUCAUUACCGAGUAAGGGUCGCCCCCUCGUGGGACCGGCCCGACCUCCCAACCCUGUGUCUAACAAACCUGAACGUGUUGCUUCGGCGGACCGGCCUCACGGCCGCCGGGGAGGGCUCAGCCCCCCCGGAGAGUCUGUCUGUCGAUGGCCCAACCAACAAACACCCAAACCACAAAACCAGUGAAACAAACCUUCUGAAUCAGAUUUUGAUGUAAACAAUCAAAAACAAAACUUUCAACAACGGAUCUCUUGGUUCUGGCAUCGAUGAAGAACGCAGC